Molecule: ribosomal RNA, 253 nt
Filed under: uncultured bacterium
Lineage: Bacteria
Description: partial 16S ribosomal RNA
Rfam family: Bacterial small subunit ribosomal RNA
Source: RNAcentral
UACGUAGGGUGCGAGCGUUAAUCGGAAUUACUGGGCGUAAAGCGUGCGCAGGCGGUGAUGUAAGACAGGUGUGAAAUCCCCGGGCUUAACCUGGGAACUGCAUUUGUGACUGCAUCGCUGAAGUGCGGCAGAGGGGGAUGGAAUUCCGCGUGUAGCAGUGAAAUGCGUAGAUAUGCGGAGGAACACCGAUGGCGAAGGCAAUCCCCUGGGCCUGCACUGACGCUCAUGCACGAAAGCGUGGGGAGCAAACAGG